RNAcentral lists this unclassified non-coding RNA (426 nucleotides) under uncultured Kuehneromyces. RNAcentral describes it as "sequence contains ITS2". The stretch from base 1 to 154 matches the Rfam family "5.8S ribosomal RNA". The record is from RNAcentral. Lineage: Eukaryota; Fungi; Basidiomycota; Agaricomycetes; Agaricales; Strophariaceae.
AACUUUUGGCAACGGAUCUCUUGGCUCUCGCAUCGAAGAAGAACGCAGCGAAAUGCGAAACGUAAUGUGAAUUGCAGAAUUCAGUGAAUCAUCGAAUCUUUGAACGCACCUUGCGCUCCUUGGUAUUCCUAGGAGCAUGCCUGUUUGAGUGUCAUUAAAUUCUCAACUUUAUUAGCUUUUGCUGAUAAUGGCUUGGAUUUGGGGGUCUUUUGCUGGCUUUCACGAGUUAGCUCCCCUUAAAUAUAUUAGCUGGUGCCCUCUGGUUAACCAUCUAUUGGUGUGAUAAUUAUCUACGCCGUGGAUGUUAGCCGCUUUGUGGGUGCACUGCUCCUAACCGUCUGUUUAUUCGGACAAUAUUUAUGACAUUUUGACCUCAAAUCAGGUAGGACUACCCGCUGAACUUAAGCAUAUCAAUAAGCGGAGGCU